This 468-nucleotide ribosomal RNA is filed under the name uncultured bacterium. RNAcentral describes it as "partial 16S ribosomal RNA". It matches the Rfam family "Bacterial small subunit ribosomal RNA", at positions 28 to 507 of the family's 1533-position model. The record is from RNAcentral.
GACGAACGCUGGCGGCGUGCUUAACACAUGCAAGUCGAACGGAAAGGCCCUGCUUUUGUGGGGGGCUCGAGUGGCGAACGGGUGAGUAACACGUGAGUAACCUGCCCUUGACUUUGGGAUAACUUCAGGAAACUGGGGCUAAUACCGGAUAGGAGCUCCUGCUGCAUGGUGGGGGUUGGAAAGUUUCGGCGGUUGGGGAUGGACUCGCGGCUUAUCAGCUUGUUGGUGGGGUAGUGGCUUACCAAGGCUUUGACGGGUAGCCGGCCUGAGAGGGUGACCGGCCACAUUGGGACUGAGAUACGGCCCAGACUCCUACGGGAGGCAGCAGUGGGGAAUAUUGCACAAUGGGCGGAAGCCUGAUGCAGCAACGCCGCGUGCGGGGUGACGGCCUUCGGGUUGUAAACCGCUUUCGCCUGUGACGAAGCGUGAGUGACGGUAAUGGGUAAAGAAGCACCGGCUAACUACGUG